RNAcentral lists this ribosomal RNA (253 nucleotides) under uncultured bacterium. RNAcentral describes it as "partial 16S ribosomal RNA". It matches the Rfam family "Bacterial small subunit ribosomal RNA", at positions 524 to 776 of the family's 1533-position model. The record is from RNAcentral.
UACGGAGGGUGCAAACGUUAAUCGGAAUUACUGGGCGUAAAGCGCACGUAGGCGGUUCGCUAAGUGAGGUGUGAAAUCCCCGGGCUCAACCUGGGAAUUGCGCUUCAGACUGACGAGCUGGAGUACGGUAGAGGGGGGUGGAAUUCCAUGUGUAGCGGUGAAAUGCGUAGAUAUAUGGAGGAACACCAGUGGCGAAGGCGGCCCCCUGGACCGAUACUGACGCUGAGGUGCGAAAGCGUGGGGAGCAAACAGG